CAAGGGAUCAGAGUCCUCAUCUCAUGAGACUCUAUCCUUAUCCACUUGGGGUGCACACCAUAUCUGAUUAUGGCACCCAUAUUGAGGGCUAAUUUAGUAGGUGGACACUCUACUAAAACUCUCUAAUGACCUUUUGCCAAGUGGCCUUCAGUCCAAGGUCCAUGGGUCAACGUUUGACCAAUGUCCUAAAAUAGAAAUGGCAGGUGACAGGAGAUCGAUAUUAAGGAAUAGAAAUAGCAUUCAUAUUUUGCUCGAUAUUAAAUACAGAUACAUCAAUAUGUAGCUAAUAGAGACCGUUAAUAAGAAAAUCAUUUGCAACUUUAUUAUUUUCAUAAAAUAUAUUACAAUGGUCCUUAUGAAAGCUAAUCACAUAGCCUUCUUAUGCUAAACAUGAAAUAGAAAUCAAAUUCCUGCUUGCUGCAGGCACAUAAUAAUAGUCUCUUAAAACUAAAUCUAAUCCUAAUGGUAAUCACAGAGGCUAGGUUUCCACGGCCACAGCAGCAACUCUUGCUCUGUUCCUGAUGCGUAGGAUCAUCGCCCCAUCCCUCAGCCUUUUGCUCUCCUCAAGACCCUGCAAAGAAGUGCACAAAUGAGCACUAGAACCAGAGUCAAGCACCCAAC
RNAcentral lists this long non-coding RNA (621 nucleotides) under Elaeis guineensis (African oil palm). RNAcentral describes it as "long non-coding RNA (EGUI_LNC066471)". Lineage: Eukaryota; Viridiplantae; Streptophyta; Magnoliopsida; Arecales; Arecaceae. The record is from RNAcentral.